GUUUGUAUGUCUGCAUAGAUUAUAUUGUUAAAUCA
Molecule: transfer RNA, 35 nt
Filed under: Arostrilepis sp. 7 KG-2020
Lineage: Eukaryota; Metazoa; Platyhelminthes; Cestoda; Cyclophyllidea; Hymenolepididae
Description: partial tRNA-Asn
Source: RNAcentral